This 2825-nucleotide unclassified non-coding RNA is filed under the name Hevea brasiliensis (rubber tree). Lineage: Eukaryota; Viridiplantae; Streptophyta; Magnoliopsida; Malpighiales; Euphorbiaceae. The record is from RNAcentral.
UUUAUAACUUACUCUCGCCGCUCUUGUUCUCUCCUGCCUACCGAAAUCGCCACCAUUUCUCUGCAAUUGUUAUCUCUUUUUCUCCGUCUUUACCUUUCCUUCGAAAAUGAAUCCUCAGCAAAACCCUGUAGAUCCCGACCACCCUCAGCUUCCCACCAUCAAGAUGCACCACCCUUCCUCCCCUUGCCACUCCCACCACCACCACCACCUCGCCGCCACCCCUACCCCCACCGCCGGCGCUCGCCGCAAGAUUGGCGUGGCUGUCGACCUCUCCGAUGAGAGUGCCUACGCUGUCCGCUGGGCCGUCCACCACUAUAUCCGUCCAGGUGAUGCUGUCAUCCUCCUCCACGUCAGCCCUACCUCCGUCCUUUUCGGUGCUGACUGGGGUCCACUUCCCCUUCCCAGCCCCACACAAACCCCUACGCAUUCCUCUCAGCCUGACCUCAAUAAAGACGGUUCCAAUUCAUCUCAUGAAGAGCACAGCAAUGGCAAUAGUCAAAAAGAGCGGCAGCUUGAGGAUGAUUUCGACGCCUUUACAUCCUCGAAAGUGGCUGAUCUCGCGAAGCCGCUGAAGGAAGCACAGAUCCCUUAUAAGAUCCACAUAGUAAAGGACCAUGACAUGAAGGAGAGACUGUGUUUGGAGGUGGAGAGGUUGGGGUUAAGUGCGGUGAUCAUGGGGAGUAGAGGGUUUGGAGCUGCUAAACGAGGAAGCGAUGGGAGGUUGGGUAGUGUGAGUGAUUACUGUGUGCAUCAUUGCGUGUGUCCGGUGGUGGUGGUUAGAUAUCCAGAUGACAAGGACGCUGGUGGAAAUGGUGAAGGCGAGGCCAUAGUUAACGUUAACGUGCCUGUGGAGGAGGAAGACGAGAAGGACACCAACCGCAAAGGACUAUAUAGACAAUGAUGUGAAUCAAGAGUUUCUGGUUCCUGUUUAAUUUUAACACGUGUUCAACAUCAACAUGUGAUAUAAGGCACUUGCAUUUGAGACACUUGGAAUAUUUAUCUUAAUGGACAGACAGCUAGCUGGUAAGCUAGUGAAGAAAUUCAAUGUGGAUAGGUCAUAGAUAAAGGAUGAGGCCAAUUAGUUGAAACAGGUAAUGUGUGGAACAUCUUCAAGGAUUUCAUAUGUUAGCAUGUUAUAUUGGCUAAGCACCAAAUAUAAUGUGGUUUGACUGAAAUAUGGAAACAGUACAGCGCAUAUGAAAUGCAAUAGAUUAUGUUGGCAGGUGAUUAACAUUAUAAAUUCUUCCAAAAUUUACAUCGUUAAUUGCAAUCUGGUUAUUGGACUUUUUUAUUAGGUGUUUUUCAAUUGUGUUUAGGGUAGUAUUUGAGCAUUUGACAUUUUAGUUUGAUUCAAGGUAUUGUUCCUUACUUCCUUAGCAUCUCUGUGUAAUUUCUUGACUGCUUUUUUUAAGAGUUUGUUUAAUGUUGUUGCAACAAUUGUUAGAUUGUCUGGCUUAGUUAGCUUGUUGAUGAACAUAUCAAAAUGUAUGCCUGAUCUAUUGCUCUGGAAAGUGUUCAAUCUGUAUUCUGCCCAUUCUAUCUAAUACAUUUUGAUUUAGGGAUGUGUGCUGUUUAUUGCGACCCUCAUGCUUCUCAACUCUGGCUGAAAAGGAGAUAAAUUGUCAUAUCAUUUUUUUUUACUCUUCUUUUGUCUCUCUGAUUGUAAUAUUGUUGUUUGAUGGUGUGUUGUAUAUGGCAAUAUUAUUUUGACCUGUUCUCCUUGCCUCUUAUAAAUAAUUGAACUGCAAUUUGUGUAACAAUAAGGUCAUGGGAACCUAAUUUUGUUGAAAUCCUUGUCAGAAAUGCUGCUUUGGCAUUCAUAUUGGAAUUUUUUAAAUGUAUUUUAGUCAUAAUGGGCCAAUACUCUCCACUCUUCUCACAAACAAAAUAAGAGAUUCUGAGCGGAGACGAAGAAAGUAAAAAUGAAAAACCAGAUGCAUAAUCUUGGCAUUCAUAAUGGGUUUACAUAAAGUUGCAUGUUAAAUGACAUCAAUUUUUUCUCACUUGACAGAUGCGUAGUCUGAGCAUUGGAAUCUAUGGUUAGCUCCUCUUCAUAGCCGGUAUGCUGGCUGUUGCUUGAAAUCUCAUAGCUUCUUCUUAAAGAUCUUUUCCCUUCUUUGCAUUUGAGUGUGGAGUGAUGUUCUUCCGCUUGUCUUUGCAUUUGCUUGUCUUUUUGUUUUCAGUUUGGAUAGCUUUAUACUAUUCAUGCUUUUGCACAUAAUAUUUUCUCAUCCAUCCAUGGCAAACAUGUAAUUGCUUGUAUUUAAUGCAUUUCUCCCUAUAUAGAUCCAAUUAUGCACCUAGGCUGUUUUUUUAUCUUAUAGAUAAUGUAGCAGUCGUCAAUCGACAGAGAUUAGGUGUGGCAUGCUAAGAGGGACACGGUGUUGUUUUGUUGGACUAUCUGCAAAAUUGAAGGUUGUAGAAUGCUCCAUAUGUUUCUCCCUUGUCAACGGUUCCCAUGUAUGAAACUAGAGAGAGCUUGCAGUGAUAUUUGUGUAGCUGAUGAAUGUAAGGUUUUCAGAUUUUCUGCUAUGCCUUUAGAAAAGAUGCUUUUACUGGAUUGUGAUGUACAUCAUUUUUCUCUUGAAGAUUGCAUCUCUCCAAGUUUAUCUGCCGUUUUUAGAAAUUUGUUUAACCAUUCCUUUUAAAACUGAGGAUUGUUUCCAUCUGGAUGUUGGGUGUGGAAUGGCAUGAUAGUCUGUUUCACCCCUGCUGCGGCUCCAAAGGGAAACAAAGGUGCAAAUUACUUGCUAACAACUUUCUUAAGUAAUUUUGGUUAUUAUGGUUAGUCAAUGGCUUUACACUUGAAUAAUUAUAGUUUUUCA